This 1512-nucleotide long non-coding RNA is filed under the name Anas zonorhyncha (Eastern spot-billed duck). RNAcentral's name for it is "lncRNA (ENSAZOG00000004511.1)". The record is from RNAcentral. Lineage: Eukaryota; Metazoa; Chordata; Aves; Anseriformes; Anatidae.
UUCCAAGCAGAUGCAUAUGAAUGGGCAGGUUACGCUAAUGGAAUCGUUUUUCAAUUCAACACAGGAGUUGAACUAGAAAAAAAUAUACAUAGUUGCAGGCAAAAUUACUUGUUUUUAAUAAAAUGUAAGUUUGUAACUGGAAUAUAUUUACAUUUAGCUCUGUUUCAGGACGGACGUUUCUCCCCCUCACCUGCACCUCACACUGGGGCAGCAGUUUGACGAUUGUUUUGACCAGCUGAGAUGGCUUUUCUGAAAAGUAGUGGAAGGAAAAUAUUUACCUAGCCCUAGGUUUGCACAGAGGAGCGAUGUUUUUCCUUCUGCAAUCUAAAGGCAACAAAAUGCAAUAAAUAAAUAAAUAAAAUGCGAAGCCCAGACCAUUCACACUGGUGUCUUGGGACACUUCUGUAAAACACUGGGCAUGAACAGGGCACGGGAAGUUCAGGUGCCCAAGGUGGGGAAAGAGUGAAACCAGCACGCCAUUAUGGGGCAAUAGGAGGCAGGUCCCCAAACGUGCACACAGCAGGGCCUCCAAAAAGUGGGCUCCUUCCAGAACCCCGUCCAGGGGACGCCUGGCACCCUCCUGGCAUUUUGGGUGCCCUCGGCCAGCACAGCUCACCGGGUUGGGGGCACCUCUCAGCAGCACCUCCACCAUCCCAGCCAUCCUUAUGGCCCACAGCCCCUCCUCCAGAAGCAAUGAAGCUCUCCAAAUAAUAUCCAGGUUUUUUGUUUGUUUGUUUUUACUAAAAUACAGAGCAACAAGGUUUCAGGAGAAAGAGGAGGGUGAAUGCACAGGGCUUUUCAGCUGCCACUUUAAGAAUAAAGCGGAUUUAAAAGCAGUAUGUAGCAGCAACAAAGCGAGGGAAAUCCCUGCCCCAAAAAAAACUGCAGUUUGGCAGUGCUGUAAGCAAUAAAAACAGGGCUUUAAAAUAGCAAACAGUAUGCAAAUUGAGAAGUCACGUGCAUUGCCAGGCUUUCCUAAAACCGCCUCGACAAAACGCUGCGGUAAGGGGAUGUUAUGCAGGUUGCAAAGUCAGGCUCUGAGAAGCCGGCAGAAUUAAAGGCAAUUUGUGGGGUUGUGGCUCUGCCCCUCGUGCACUGAGGAGUCCCCUCGGCAGAGCCCACCCAGCACACACAGCAGACCCCAUGUAGGGAACGAAGCAGUGCCUCAGCGCUUCCUCCCGCACGGCACCGCACAGCCCCGUACCCCAUUUAUUUUGCACAACUGAGCCGCUCAGAACGGGGAACAUUUAAUUUCCUCGGGGACUCCCAGCUACGGCAUUCAUCACUUCCCCAUGCAGGUGCCUAAGCAGCUUUUAAUUUAGUUCCACGCUAGUUCUGCAAGAUUUAAAAAAAAAUUACAAAAAACGAUCUUUUCUUUAGAAAAAAAGGGGAGCGUUCCCAGGGCCAGGACUUUGAGGAGCCCCCCCCAGCUCUGCUCCCUCUGCUCAUCCCCUCCACAGCUGGACACACAGCCCACACCAGCGCAUUGACUACACCCACAACUGGCUCUUG